AAGACUCGCUUAGCCCCAGAGCGCACACUUGUGAACACCGGAGUGAGAAUUGCUGCCUGGUUUACAGUUUUGUUCGUCUUGUAUGUAGUUUUGUAUUUUAUAAUUCAGGGAGCAUUGAGCACUCACUUGCAUAUUUGACACAGAAUUCAAAGGCGAAUAAGAUUCUAUCCUUAACAUACAUGUUGAAUCAAUAUUUGUGCGGUGACUGAAGGAAACAAGGUGAUUAUUUGUGGUCCAUUCAUGUCCUGUGCCCGUGGAAGCUCCCCAUCAUCCUCUGCGACAGCAGAAAGCCGUUGUGCUUACCUUGUUGGCACACAGGAAACUAGGUGCCCACUGCUGGCUCCAGCCACGGGCCUGGCCAGACGUGUUUGCUGAGGGCACUUUUAGUUCUUUCUUUGUAAUGUUAGUAUUACAAUCAGCUGCACUAUAAGCAGACUUCUUUAUUAUACAUUUUAUUUGAAUAUUCUGAGCCGCUAAGACUUAAGGAAAGGGUAGCAUUGGGUGGAUUUGUGUAAACCUGCGCUGUCCACCACAGUGUCCUAAGCCAUGUGCGGCUGUUGAGCCCUUGAAAUGUGGCCACUUCAAAACGAUGUUCUGUGUAUAUAAAUUCCAGCAGAUUACAGGGACUUCGGGUAAAAAGGAAUGUAAACUACUCUGUUAAUACCUUUUAACACCAAUUACAUGUUGAAAUGAUGUUCCAUAUCCUGGUUAUGUUUGGUUAAGUAAAAUACAUUAUUGAAAU
This is a long non-coding RNA of Pipistrellus kuhlii (Kuhl's pipistrelle), 742 nucleotides long. RefSeq lists it as uncharacterized. The transcript has 2 exons. NCBI's taxonomy places the organism in Eukaryota, Metazoa, Chordata, Mammalia, Chiroptera, Vespertilionidae. The record is from RefSeq and is a predicted model, not a curated record.